RNAcentral lists this long non-coding RNA (373 nucleotides) under Olea europaea (common olive). RNAcentral's name for it is "long non-coding RNA (OEUR_LNC015051)". Lineage: Eukaryota; Viridiplantae; Streptophyta; Magnoliopsida; Lamiales; Oleaceae. The record is from RNAcentral.
CUUUCCCACAUCUUCUUCACCUUUCUUUUUUCUAUUCCGACGUGCUGCCACAAGAUCACCAUCUGCCACCUUCAAUUAGACAUUAGCGGUCGAGCCCAGUAACCCAGCGACCCAAGUUAGCGCCAGAGCUAACUUAAAGGUAUGGUUUAUUGAUUUUUAUUUAUUGGGUUAUUAUCAAUUUGUCGGGAAAUAUUGUUUAAAGCAAAUUGCGUUAUUCGGUUGCUAUCAAUUUGUUUAUUUGUAAGAGAAUAUCAUAGAUCUACAGUAAAGUGAAGGUUGAAUCUCAAUUGAAAAUACAGUGGGUUCAAAAUUAUCUUAAUAUUUUGUUUCCUUAACUUCUGAUUAUCUAUGUGAUUUAAUGCAUUUUGAGCAA